RNAcentral lists this ribosomal RNA (776 nucleotides) under uncultured bacterium. RNAcentral describes it as "bacterial SSU rRNA". It matches the Rfam family "Bacterial small subunit ribosomal RNA", at positions 613 to 1390 of the family's 1533-position model. The record is from RNAcentral.
CCUGGGAACUGCGUUNUGAACUGGGUGACUAGAGUGUNUCAGAGGGAGGUAGAAUUCCACGUGUAGCAGUGAAAUGCGUAGAGAUGUGGAGGAAUACCGAUGGCGAAGGCAGCNUCCUGGGAUAACACUGACGUUCAUGCCCGAAAGCGUGGGUAGCAAACAGGAUUAGAUACCCUGGUAGUCCACGCCCUAAACGAUGUCGAUUAGCUGUUGGGCAGCAUGACUGCUUGGUAGCGAAGCUAACGCGUGAAAUCGACCGCCUGGGGAGUACGGUCGCAAGAUUAAAACUCAAAGGAAUUGACGGGGACCCGCACAAGCGGUGGAUGAUGUGGAUUAAUUCGAUGCAACGCGAAGAACCUUACCUGGUCUUGACAUGUACGGAACCCUCCAGAGACGGAGGGGUGCCUUCGGGAGCCAUAACACAGGUGCUGCAUGGCUGUCGUCAGCUCGUGUCGUGAGAUGUUGGGUUAAGUCCCGCAACGAGCGCAACCCUUGUCAUUAGUUGCCAUCAUUAAGUUGGGCACUCUAAUGAGACUGCCGGUGACAAGCCGGAGGAAGGUGGGGAUGACGUCAAGUCCUCAUGGCCCUUAUGACCAGGGCUUCACACGUCAUACAAUGGUCGGUACAGAGGGUAGCCAAGCCGCGAGGUGGAGCCAAUCUCACAAAACCGAUCGUAGUCCGGAUUGCACUCUGCAACUCGAGUGCAUGAAGUCGGAAUCGCUAGUAAUCGCAGGUCAGCAUACUGCGGUGAAUACGUUCCCGGGUCUUGUACACAC